Molecule: transfer RNA, 65 nt
Filed under: Hyporhamphus dussumieri (Dussumier's halfbeak)
Lineage: Eukaryota; Metazoa; Chordata; Actinopteri; Beloniformes; Hemiramphidae
Description: tRNA-Cys
Rfam family: tRNA
About the family: Transfer RNA (tRNA) molecules are approximately 80 nucleotides in length. Their secondary structure includes four short double-helical elements and three loops (D, anti-codon, and T loops).
Source: RNAcentral
AGCUCUGAGGUGUUACACGUUAGAUUGCAAAUCUAGAGAAGCAGGUUAAACGCCUGCCGGGGCUU